AUGAAAGCCAUUGCUUGGAAUUGCCGAGGUAUGGGUCGGAACCUUGGCAAUGAUCGUAUGGUCUUUCUGGCCAACUUGAUUCGUUCCACUAAAGCGCAGGUAACUUUUGUUUUGGAAAUCAAAUCCUCCAAAGUUCGUUCUGUUGAUCUUGUUAAUAGGUUUGAUGUUACUAAUGCUUUUGUUGUCCCCUCUAGAGGUGCUUCAGGAGGGCUCUGGCUCAUGUGGAAUGAUGAGCUCAAAGUUUCUGUUUAUAGUGCUUCCUUUCACUGUGUUCUAGCUAAUGUAGUUCACCUAGUCUCAGGAGUUCAAUUUUGUUUGAUCUGUAUAUAUGGUGACCCCUAUCAUAGGCAGAUUACUGCCAUUUGGAGUCAAGUUUCAUCUUUUGUUUAUGAUCAUCUGGGUAUGCCCAUGAUGUGUAUGGGUGAUCUUAACGACAUCUUGUAUGAUACGGAUGGGCAUAAUGGCAAUGUUAAUUACUAUCGUAUGACUACUUUUCGUUCGCUUGUUAAAAAUUGUGGUUUCUUUGAUAUAGGCUUUAGUGGUCCUGCGUAUACUUGGCGUAGUAAGCAGCACACUCCUUAUCCCAUUUACAGGCGCCUUGAUCGUUGCUUGGUUAAUUCUGAAUGGUGUAUGCAUUAUCCUAAUACCAAGGUUCUUAAUUUGCCUAUUAUCCUCAGUGAUCAUGCUCCCAUUUUAGUAUCUACUGAUGGCAAUUUUGUUAGGCCCAAGCAAACGUUUAAAUUUGAAAACUGGUGGUUGAUGGAGAAGGACUUCAUUGAUUUUGCUAAAUCUGCUUGGAACAAUUGUUCACUUACUUCUUUUGCAGCCAAAACCUCUUCUUUGGCAGGCUCUUUAAAGAUGUGGUGCAGGAAAAAAAAAGCCUCUCCAGCACGAUCUUUCGGAACUUGA
This 909-nucleotide ribosomal RNA is filed under the name Triticum aestivum (bread wheat). RNAcentral's name for it is "partial small subunit ribosomal RNA". The record is from RNAcentral. Lineage: Eukaryota; Viridiplantae; Streptophyta; Magnoliopsida; Poales; Poaceae.